AGUGGAUGGGGAGCAACCUAGUUGUGCGUGUGUAAAGGUAGUGCCAAGAAAAGCGGUGAUCAUGAUGAAAAUCAAUUCCCGGUACCCGAAACCGACACAGGUGGGCAAGUAGAGAAUACUAAGGGGCGCGAGGUAACUCUCUCCAAGGAACUCGGCAAAAUGACCCCGUAACUUAGGGAGAGGGGGUGCCACCGAGAGGUGGUCGCAGUGAAGAGGCCCAGGCGACUGUUUAGCAAAAACAUAGGUCUCUGCAAACUCGAAAGAGGAGGUAUAGGGGCUGACGCCUGCCCAGUGCCGGAAGGUUAAAGAAGUUGGUCAGUCUUAGGAUGAAGCUGACGACCGAAGCCCCGGUGAACGGCGGCCGUAACUAUAACGGUCCUAAGGUAGCGAAAUUCCUUGUCGGGUAAGUUCCGACCCGCACGAAAGGCGUAACGAUCUGGGCGCUGUCUCGGAGAGAGGCUCGGCGAAAUAGGAUUGUCUGUGAAGAUACGGACUACCUGCAUUUGGACAGAAAGACCCUAUGAAGCCUUACUAUAGCUUGGAAUUGUGUUCGGGCUUCCUGUGCGCAGGAUAGGUGGGAGGCGUAGAAGGUAUUCUUGUGGGGAUACUGGAGCCAACGGUGAGAUACCACUCUCAGGAGGCUAGAAUUCUAACUUAAUUAAGGACAGUUUCAGGUGGGUAGUUUGACUGGGGCGGUCGCCUCCAAAAAGGUAACGGAGGCGUACAAAGGUUCCCUCAGACUGGUUGGAAAUCAGUCGAAGAGUGCAAAGGCAGAAGGGAGCUUGACUGCGAGAAGUACAGUUCGAGCAGGGUGGAAACACGGUCUUAGUGAUCCGACGGUGCUGUGUGGAAGGGCCGUCGUUCAACGGAUAAAAGUUACUCUAGGAUAACAGGCUGAUCUCCCCCAAGAGUUCACAUCGACGGGGAGGUUUGGCACCUCGAUGUCGGCUCAUCGCAACCUGGGGCGGAAGUACGUCCCAAGGGUUGGGCUGUUCGCCCAUUAAAGCGGUACGUUAGCUGGGUUCAGAACGUCGUGAGACAGUUCGGUCCAUAUCCGAUGUAGGCGUGAGAAUAUUGAGAGGAGCCUUCCUUAGUACGAGAGGACCGGGAAGGACGCACCACUGGUGUACCUGUUAUGAUGCCAAUUGUAAACGCAGGGUAGCCAAGUGCGGAGAGGAUAACCGCUGAAAGCAUCUAAGUGGGAAGCCCACCUCAAGAUGAGUAUUCUGGUGUAAGGUCACGGGAAGACGACCCGUAAAUAGGCACGAGGUGGAAGUGCAGAGAUGUAUGAAGCCGAAGUGUACUAAUAGACCGUCGGCUUGAC
RNAcentral lists this ribosomal RNA (1324 nucleotides) under metagenome. Its description in RNAcentral is "bacterial LSU rRNA". It matches the Rfam family "Bacterial large subunit ribosomal RNA", at positions 1561 to 2925 of the family's 2925-position model. The record is from RNAcentral.